This 278-nucleotide ribosomal RNA is filed under the name Salmonella enterica subsp. arizonae serovar 13,23:g,z51:-. RNAcentral describes it as "partial 16S ribosomal RNA". It matches the Rfam family "Bacterial small subunit ribosomal RNA", at positions 1 to 275 of the family's 1533-position model. Lineage: Bacteria; Pseudomonadati; Pseudomonadota; Gammaproteobacteria; Enterobacterales; Enterobacteriaceae. The record is from RNAcentral.
AAAUUGAAGAGUUUGAUCAUGGCUCAGAUUGAACGCUGGCGGCAGGCCUAACACAUGCAAGUCGAACGGUAACAGGAAGCAGCUUGCUGCUUCGCUGACGAGUGGCGGACGGGUGAGUAAUGUCUGGGAAACUGCCUGAUGGAGGGGGAUAACUACUGGAAACGGUGGCUAAUACCGCAUAAUGUCGCAGGACCAAAGAGGGGGACCUUCGGGCCUCUUGCCAUCAGAUGUGCCCAGAUGGGAUUAGCUAGUUGGUGAGGUAACGGCUCACCAAGGCG